This 413-nucleotide ribosomal RNA is filed under the name uncultured bacterium. RNAcentral's name for it is "bacterial SSU rRNA". It matches the Rfam family "Bacterial small subunit ribosomal RNA", at positions 28 to 436 of the family's 1533-position model. The record is from RNAcentral.
GACGAACGCUGGCGGCGCGCCUAACACAUGCAAGUCGAACGAGAGAUGAGGAGCUUGCUCUUCAAAUCGAGUGGCGAACGGGUGAGUAACGCGUGAGGAACCUGCCUCAAAGAGGGGGACAACAGUUGGAAACGACUGCUAAUACCGCAUAAGCCCACGGCUCGGCAUCGAGCAGGGGGAAAAGGAGCAAUCCGCUUUGAGAUGGCCUCGCGUCCGAUUAGCUAGUUGGUGAGGUAACGGCCCACCAAAGCGACGAUCGGUAGCCGGACUGAGAGGUUGAACGGCCACAUUGGGACUGAGACACGGCCCAGACUCCUACGGGAGGCAGCAGUGGGGAAUAUUGCACAAUGGGGGAAACCCUGAUGCAGCGACGCCGCGUGGAGGAAGAAGGUCUUCGGAUUGUAAACUCCUGU